UCACAAGUGUUCUGACUGCAACUGCCUCUGAGAUAUUCUUUCAGUACCUUUAGGAUUUACUAAUUGGCCUCUACUUCAGAGCAAAUUUGGGAGUGAUAACAAAGAGAAUGAAGAGAACAGGAAUAGUUAGAAGAAGCUGGACUUCUGGCUUGGUAUAAAAAAGAAGGAAGAAAGAUGUGGUGCUUUGGAAAGCUCAGCAACCACUAAUGAAGCACAAAGAACUCUCUAAUUUUAGAGUGAUGUAGUAAGGAAAGGUUUCCACAGCGUUACAGGAGACUAUCCUUGAAAGAGCACCGCCAAAUCUGGUCAAUGUAAAGAUAGCUUUUUAGCAGGAGACACUCCUUGAAGGGGCACCCUCAAAUCUGGCCAUUAAAGAAAGAAGUUCAGCAGGUAGGCAAUGGCAGUUCAUAGUGACAUCACCAUUUGGCCCUCCCUGAAAAAUCUCUUGUACCCUGGAGUGCACUAGAUUCUUCUGUAAUGUCACAAGUGUUGUCAUCACAGCCUGGCCUAAGGGUUAUUCCUUCUGUAACUCUAGGUUUAUUAAUUAGCCUCUCAUUCAAUGUAAACAGUCAUUUGGGAGGGAGAAAAAAAGGAUGAAGAGAUCCAAGAAGGGGAGAAGGCAGCUGGCCUUCUGUUUUCGUAAAACAAAAAAUGAAGAAAUAUGCCAUCCGUGGGAACAUUCAGAGAGUCCUGGGUAGGGGCUGAGUGGAUUUGCUGAAGAGAAGCCUUGAUCUUAUCCUUCACGUAUCAGAAACAGGAGCUGGGAGCCUCUGAGAAGAAUCUGGACUUCCCUGUUGUUAUGAUACCAGGAAGUCAGAGCGUUUAUAUCAUUUAUUUAUUAUUCCAAAAGCCAGGUGUUGGGAAGUGUACAGUUGUUUUCCUGAGAGCUCACGCCUUUACUUUU
This is a non-coding RNA of Rattus norvegicus (Norway rat), 904 nucleotides long. NCBI's taxonomy places the organism in Eukaryota, Metazoa, Chordata, Mammalia, Rodentia, Muridae. The record is from RefSeq and is a predicted model, not a curated record.